GAUGAACGCUGGCGGCGUGCCUAAUACAUGCAAGUCGAGCGAACGGACGAGAAGCUUGCUUCUCUGAUGUUAGCGGCGGACGGGUGAGUAACACGUGGAUAACCUACCUAUAGGACUGGGAUAACUUCGGGAGACCGGAGCUAAUACCGGAUAAUAUUUUGAACCGCAUGGUUCAAAAGUGAAAGACGGUCUUGCUGUCACUUAUAGAUGGAUCCGCGCUGCAUUAGCUAGUUGGUAAGGUAACGGCUUACCAAGGCAACGAUGCAUAGCCGACCUGAGAGGGUGAUCGGCCACACUGGAACUGAGACACGGUCCAGACUCCUACGGGAGGCAGCAGUAGGGAAUCUUCCGCAAUGGGCGAAAGCCUGACGGAGCAACGCCGCGUGAGUGAUGAAGGUCUUCGGAUCGUAAAACUCUGUUAUUAGGGAAGAACAUAUGUGUAAGUAACUGUGCACAUCUUGACGGUACCUAAUCAGAAAGCCACGGCUAACUACGUG
RNAcentral lists this ribosomal RNA (497 nucleotides) under uncultured bacterium. RNAcentral describes it as "partial 16S ribosomal RNA". It matches the Rfam family "Bacterial small subunit ribosomal RNA", at positions 28 to 507 of the family's 1533-position model. The record is from RNAcentral.